GGUGUUUUCACAGCAGCUGACACAGUGUAUGUGUUUUCUAUUUGUAACCUGCCAUGGAGCUGGCUUAUUAUCAGAGGAGUGACCACAGUGUCACAGUAACUGCCCUUAUCCCCACAUUCACGCUCACCCCUCCGUCUAUUACCAUUGCCCUGGUCUUGUUCCAUGCCAUCUGUGUCCAUAGCAACUGGACAGAAUAGGUUACUUAUUAUAGGACAGGGGCUCAGCUGCCAGGUAGUUUACAAUGAGAUUUGUCAUAUCCUCUUCCAAACAGGUCAACAGCACAUGAGGUACAGGAGGUCAGAGAGAUCUGGUGACUGUAGAGGCCAUUUGAAUGCAGUGAACUCAUUGCCACGUUCAAGAAACCUCUUUAAGACAAUCUGAAUGUUGUGACAUGGAGUGUUAUCCUGCUGGAAGAUGGACGCACUCAGGGGCUCGCUGAGCGAUGUGGCCCUUUUGUGGAAUGGAUAGAUCUACAGAUAAAAGACAAGUUUAAAACGCCGGUGACUCAGCCGGGGUGUUGUCAAAUAAAUUGGGACGACACCUCUUUCGUCCCAGGAGAUGCUACGUGCUUCGUUAUGGCGAGCUCCGGUGAAGCUCUUCCUGUGCUGUGACUAAUUAUGACCCAGACUCAGAGCGUCUCCUCGGCUCCGGCCAGGUUAAACUCUAACCUCUGUGACAUCACGCAGUUCUCUGACUGAACAUGUCUUGGUGAUGUCAGGUCAGAGGAGGAGGAGAAUGAUCAAGACUGCUUUGAGGAAGGCAAAUCAGUACCUCAACCACAACCAAGAUAUGUAAGAGAGUGCCUUUGAACAUACAACAAAUUUAACUUUGAAGCACAAGACCACACCGGGUGCUGCACCUACAGCUAAGAACAGUAAAAUGUCAAAACAAUCCCCACGGGAUCCUGCAAUUCACAUAGUAGGAUGGGAAUCCGGUGUGAACAAUAAGUCUCAGGCCCAGUCUGGUGUGAACAGAUGGUAUGGAUCCAUCCUGCCU
Molecule: long non-coding RNA, 996 nt
Organism: Oreochromis aureus
Lineage: Eukaryota; Metazoa; Chordata; Actinopteri; Cichliformes; Cichlidae
Source: Ensembl